AGGGUUUGAUCCUGGCUCAGAUUGAACGCUGGCGGCAGGCUUAACACAUGCAAGUCGAGCGGUAACAGGGGUAGCUUGCUACCCGCUGACGAGCGGCGGACGGGUGAGUAAUGCAUAGGAAACUGCCCAGUAGUGGGGGAUAGCCCGGGGAAACCCGGAUUAAUACCGCAUACGCCCUACGGGGGAAAGCAGGGGAUCUUCGGACCUUGCGCUAUUGGAUGUGCCUAUGUCGGAUUAGCUAGUUGGUGGGGUAAAGGCUCACCAAGGCGACGAUCCGUAGCUGGUCUGAGAGGAUGAUCAGCCACAUCGGGACUGAGACACGGCCCGAACUCCUACGGGAGGCAGCAGUGGGGAAUAUUGGACAAUGGGGGCAACCCUGAUCCAGCCAUGCCGCGUGUGUGAAGAAGGCUUUCGGGUUGUAAAGCACUUUCAGCGAGGAGGAAGGUCUGUAGUUUAAUACGCUGCAGAAUUGACGUUACUCGCAGAAGAAGCACCGGCUAACUCCGUGCCAGCAGCCGCGGUAAUACGGAGGGUGCAAGCGUUAAUCGGAAUUACUGGGCGUAAAGCGCGCGUAGGUGGUUUGAUAAGCGAGAUGUGAAAGCCCCGGGCUUAACCUGGGAACGGCAUUUCGAACUGUCAGGCUAGAGUGUG
Molecule: ribosomal RNA, 651 nt
Filed under: uncultured bacterium
Lineage: Bacteria
Description: bacterial SSU rRNA
Rfam family: Bacterial small subunit ribosomal RNA
Source: RNAcentral